UUGUUGACGGGGUCAGCAAGGUGGUCAGCGAGGUUCUCGAGCAGGCCUUUGCCUGUGACGAUGGCCUGUACGAAGAAGCCGAACAUGGAAAACAGCAAGGCGGCCAUUCUUGAGCUCCUUUACCUUGAGCUCGGCGAAUGCCUCUAGGUCAUCAGCCAAGCCGAGUGGGUCGAAGCUACUGCCGGGGUAGAGAGGGUCAACGAUCUCACCAAGCGGGCCACCGGCAACACGGUAUCCCUCAACGGUGCCCAUGAGCACAACCUGGCAAGCCCAUAUGGCCAGGAUGCUCUGCGCAUGGACAAGGCUCGGGUUGCCGAGGUAGUCAAGGCCACCCUCACUGAAGAUCUAGGAGCCGGCCUUGAACCAGACGGCCUCGCCGAACUUCACGCCAUUGUGAGCGAGAAGCUCAGGGAAGACACAACCGAGGGCACCAAGCAUGGCCCAGCGGGAAUGGAUCACCUCCAACUCCCUGUUCUUGGCAAAGGUCUCAAGAUCAGGGUCUCAAGAUCAGCCGAGAGCCCGGCGGUGUCCCACCCGUAGUCACCAGGAAACUCACCGGUCAGGUAGCUCGGGGGCUCGUCAGAGAGCGGGCCGAGGUACAACACGCGGUCAGAGCCGUACCACGGGCUACCCGAGGACACCGGCUUGGCCUUGGCAGCGGUCUUCCGCAUGGUGACCCGGGCCUCGCCGAAGAGAGCUGCCGACGGCAGGUUCUUCACCGUAUUGCCGGCAAAGGCCGAGGAAGAAAGAGACAUGGUGGUGGCCGCCAUUGCACUUGCUUUUAAGACCGGUGGUUGCUGACCUCCGUGCUCUCCAAUAGUAUUGGAUGAGUGUGAAGAACUGGAGAUGGUAUCAGAAGAGAGGAGGAUGGAGCUAGUUAAAGGAGUGAGAAAGAACGGAGGGGAUUGCCCGGUACGGUGCUGGCAAGGGGGAGAGAGCCUGAAAAAUCUGAAGCUGCGUUGCCAUUGGUGCACAGUUGGCGCAGCAAGGGCCUCAUGUGGAUAUACGAUAAAGUUGUGGGUAGGGCUAAGAGGAGUCCCCGUGGAGAUGUGUGAUUGGGCUGAGUUUGAUGAACAAUCGCACAGGGACACAAGUGAUUUGCGCUGCAUAAACUGUCAUAGCUAUUCUGAUCCGCUUUAUUUGCUUCUUAUACAGACUCUGUAAACUUGGCCUGUACUAGCUAACUGACGCCUAAAUGAAAAUGAAAAUACCAGACAGAACGAGUCUUACUGACGUGCCAUCCCACGGUGUUGAUCGUGUCCUGGUCAUGCCGCCAUUGACGCUUGAUUCGUGCCAUCCCACGAAGCAGUCAAAGGCGGCGCACUAAAGCAGCUGACUAACAAGUAGUGACUCAGGCAAGACCGCAAGACACGAACAAACACGUGCCAGAUGCCUGUUUAUUCAGUUACUGAACUUACUGAAGAAAAAUGACACCGACAACAACAUUACGGUGAACAGUACAUUAAGUAUUACUGCUUAUUCAUUAUUGCUUUGUGGUCAUUGUCUUUUGACGUUUUCUGUGGAAUACCUAUUUUUAAUUUCUCUCUUCCUCAUGAUUAGUAUGACGCAAUAAGUUAAUGGAAAUGAUUCAGGGAUAUGAGACUGUAAUUGUUCAAGGAGAUUAUUGGGUUGGUAAUUCAGGAUAUUUUUGAUACGAUGAUUCUUUCCAUUCUUAGUUUGUUUCAUGGUAAACGACCAAUUAGUGAAAGUGACCUCUUAAUGAGGGCCUCGUUUUCAUAUAUACACAUGUCGAAAAGCUGGUGGGUAGAUCUUGUGGUAAUAGACAUGAUCCUCUAGUUUUUAACUCUGAGUUUAUGUAUUCUAUAUCCGACAAUUGGCGGCGUGCUCAGUUUUGUAUGCGAUUGGUAAGCACAUGUCAUUGGUUACAAUAAGUGCAAAACAUACGUCAGAGAGUAUUGUUCUGAUAAAAUACCAAAUGGCUAGAUGCAGAAUAUCAGAGAGUAAAGUGGCCUUCGAAUCAAACAAUCUUUUUCAUGAGAUCCUCGUUGUAUACAUCAUCAUCAUGGUAGUACAAAUCACACCAGCUAUCCACACUUCAUAGUUGCAUGGUCGAUCUCGUUGACUACUUGCCGGGGACGAAGUUGGUGGCGAAGGCCCACGCAUUGUUGUUGACAGGGUCAGCAAGGUGGUCGGCGAGGUUCUCAAGUGGGCCCUUGCCGGUGACAAUGGCCUGUACAAAGAAGCCGAACAUGGAGAACAUGGCGAGACGGCCAUUCUUGAUCUCCUUCACCUUGAGCUCUGCGAAUGCCUCGGGGUCGUCGGCAAGGCCGAGUGGGUCAAAGCUGCCGCCGGGGUAGAGAGGGUCAACGAUCUCGCCGAGCGGGCCACUGGCAACACGGUAUCCCUCGACGGCGCCCAUGAGAACGACCUGGCAGGCCCAAAUGGCGAGGAUGCUCUGGGCAUGGACGAGGCUCGGGUUGCCGAGGUAGUCAAGGCCCCCCCUCAGUGAAGAUCUGAGAGCCGGCCUUGAACCAGACGGCCUCGCCGAACUGAACACCAUUGCGGGCGAGAAGCUCAGGGAAGACGCAACCGAGCGCGCCAAGCAUGGCCCAACGACAGUGGAUCACCUCAAGCUCGCGGUUCUUGGCAAAGGUCUCGGGGUCCGCUGAGAGCCCGGCGGUGUCCCACCCAUAGUCGCCGGGAAACUCACCGGUUAGGUAACUCGGGGGCUCGCCAGAGAGCGGGCCGAGGUACAGCACACGGUCGGAGCCGUACCACGGGCUGCUCGAGGAGAUUGGCUUGGCCUUGGCGGCGGUCUUGCGCAUGGUGCCCCGGCCUCACCGAAGAGAGUCGAUGACGGCAUGUUCUUCACCGUCUUGCCAGCGAAGGCCGAAGAAGAGAGAGACAUGGUAGUGGCUGCCAUUGCGCUAGCUCUUAAAACGGUGGUGGUCGAACUCUAUGCUUCUAAUAGUAUUCUGUGAGUGUGAAGGACUGAAGAUGGAUUCAGAAGGGAGGAGGAGGGAGCUACUUAAAGAAGUGAGAAGAGAAGACAGAGGGAAUUGAUCUGUGCUGGCAAGAGAGACACAGCCUGAGAAAUCUGAUGCCACCAUCUCAUUGGUGCAGCGGCCAUCCGGGUACAGUUGGCGCAGGGACAUCCUCAAGGGGAUGGGAUAUAGUCGUGGGUAGGGCUUGGGGAUUCUGCAUGUGCACUACAAUUUGUUGUACAACUAAUAAGUUAUUGAGUUUAAUCAGUUAUUGAGGAUUCUGCAUGUGCACUUACAAUUUGUUGUACAACUAAUAAGUGUUAAUUUGCUUCCUCCGAAGGUAAUAGUCAAAAGAAGUUUUUUGUUGGUAAACUGAUAGUAAACAUGCUCGAUCAACAUGUAUUGUCCACAUAUGGAGUUAAAAAUGAAUUAGCCAGUCGUGGGGCCAUAAUUUAGCCUUUGCUCAUGUACAUAGUAACUUUAUAUAAUCCGUGCUUUUAUAGUAUUGACCGUGACGGGGUGAAACCAGAUGGCACGAUCCACCUGUAAGAACAAAAGGAUUCGGGUUAAAAGCUUUAGUGGGAUCAUUAGUGACUGAACUUUUGCUAAAUGGGGUCAAAAAAGAAAUCACACUAAAUGAAACCAAAGCUGUAAGAAACAUAAAUUGAGGGGUCAAAAAAUAGAAUUCACUCUUUUAUGAACGUGUGAGGAAAGAAAUUAUUUCAUAAUUAAUGAAAAUAAAAGUCAGCGGAAUGGGGAACAUUGUUACGCGAGGUUAUUGGGUUUGAGUAAUUUAGAUGAUUGUUUUUAAUCUUUGCUUGUAUAAUAAAAACAUCAUUUUUAUUUUGGCGUGCAGAAAAGAUGACAGAUAGAUCUUGUGAUCACAGAUAUGAUGCUCUAAUUGUUGCCUCUGAGUUUCUGUAUUCUAUAUCCGGGAAGCAGCCCCAUGCGUGCCCUGCAAAAUUAGUAUGACUAAGAUUGUUAUUUUUGUAUAUACUUCCUUGUUAAUUGGGAUCUUUCUUAUCGACCAAAUCACCUAAUCCCAUCAAAAUUCUUUUAUGUCCUUUUCAUUGGCCUGGGUAUUUCUAGAUUUUGUAGUUAGUUCUGGAAUAUCCAUCCCUGAAAAAGGAAUGCGGUACACGUCAUUUUUACGGUAAGUUUGUUCACUUCCACGAGAGUAUGUAUUGCUCUGAUAAAACAUUGGGGGACAUCACAAAGUGUCUACUUCAAAAUCUGACAAUCUUUUGUUCAUAAGAUCCUCGUAAUUAAUUUACAUCAUCAUCGUGGUAGUACAAGUGAAACCAGCUACACACACUUGGUCGCGAGCAUAGUCGAUUUGCAUAUACACAUGUGCCUCUCAUUGACACCUUACUUGCCGGGAACGAAGUUGGUGGCAAAGGCCCACGCGUUGUUGUUGACGGGGUCGGCAAGGUGGUCAGCGAGGUUCUCAAGGGGACCCUUGCCGGUGACGAUGGCCUGAACGAAGAAGCCGAACAUGGAGAACAUGGCGAGGCGGCCGUUCUUGAUCUCCUUCACCUUGAGCUCAGCGAACGCCUCAGGGUCGUCAGCCAAGCCAAGGGGGUCGAAGCUGCCGCCGGGGUAGAGAGGGUCGACGAUCUCACCGAGCGGACCACCAGCAACACGGUACCCCUCGACGGCGCCCAUGAGCACGACCUGGCAAGCCCAGAUGGCGAGGAUGCUCUGGGCAUGGACGAGGCUCGGGUUGCCAAGGUAGUCGAGGCCGCCCUCGCUGAAGAUCUGGGAGCCGGCCUUGAACCAGACGGCCUCGCCAAACUUGACGCCGUUGCGGGCAAGCAGCUCGGGGAAGACGCAACCGAGCGCGCCGAGCAUGGCCCACCUGCAGUGGAUCACCUCCAGCUCCCGGUUCUUGGCGAAGGUCUCGGGGUCAGCCGAGAGCCCGGCGGUGUCCCACCCGUAAUCGCCGGGGAACUCACCGGUCAGGUAGCUCGGGGGUUCGCCGGAGAGCGGGCCGAGGUACAACACGCGGUCGGAGCCGUACCACGGGCUGCCUGAGGAGACCGGCUUGGCCUUGGCAACGGUCUUGCGCAUGGUGAUGCGGGCCUCUCCGAGCGCCGGCAGGUUCUUCACCGCCUUCCCGGCGAAGGUCGAGGAGGAGAGGGCCAUGGUGGCGGUCGCCAUUGAUGUACUGCUGUACCGUGCUCUCCUAAGAGUGUGAGGCUGGCUCUGGUGUGCGUGGAGAUGGUUUGAGAUGGGCAGAGGAGGUAGCUAUUUAACGGUGCUCUGUGGGUACAGAGAAGGGAAGAUGAUGAGAGAGAUGGCUAGAAAAAUCUGAAGCUGGGAUGCCAUUGGUGGAGUGGAGAUAUCGGCACAGUUGGCGCAGCGAGAGCCUCAAGCCGGUGGAGAUAGCUCAGACUUGCCAUGUGGAGAGGGGCUAUUGGGUGCCGUUGAUUUUCUCGUGGCUGAGGAUAUUGAUGUCGCUGAUAUUUUUUACUCGGACUGGAAGUUGCUGUUUUAGCCGUCAGAAGCUGUUAAAAAACGGAAACGUCGUGAAGGGGAUUGAUCGCCUCGUCUUGUGUCGUGUAUGUUUAGCAGUUGUUGUU
RNAcentral lists this long non-coding RNA (5527 nucleotides) under Brachypodium distachyon (stiff brome). Its description in RNAcentral is "long non-coding RNA (BDIS_LNC001799)". Lineage: Eukaryota; Viridiplantae; Streptophyta; Magnoliopsida; Poales; Poaceae. The record is from RNAcentral.